AGUGAAUGCAAAGUGAGCUGUGUUCCUCCUCUACUUCUGUGACUGCAGAGAGGAUGACAGAGAACAGUGGACACACAGUUGAACAUGAUGGACUAUAGGACAGGACUGCUGCUUUUAACUGUCUGCUGGGCAGGUGUUGAUGCUCAGACUCUGACACAAUCUGAACCAGUGGAUAAAAGUCCUGGACAAUCCCACACACUGACCUGUACAGCCUCUGGGUUUACACUGAGCAGUCACUGGAUGCACUGGGUCAGACAGGCUCCUGGACAAGGACUGGAGUGGGUCGGAGCAAGCACUCAUGAUGGCAGCAACCAGUACUACUCUACUUCAGUCAGAGGCCGGUUCACCAUCUCCAGAGACAACAGCAGACAGCAGCUGUAUCUGCAGAUGAACAGUCUGAAGGCUGAAGACUCUGCUGUGUAUUACUGUGCCAGAGAUACACAGUGACACGUCCUACCAGCAGAGCUGAACAAAAACCCCUCAGAGCCUGAAGACCUGGACCAUGAAGCCACCAGAGGAGGCGCUCUAACAUCAGAAAUCACUAUAACAUUUGUAGCGUGGGCGACUUUUUCCAUCUCUUGUUCAAAGCAAAUAAACACUGAAAUAACUGAAUAAGAAUGGAGUGAUUUGGCACCUGGGAUUUGACUGUCUAAAGUCAAUGCUUUUUUACAACUUGUGCAGCCAUUUGCUGAAAUGCAGUCAUGCUGAAGAAGCUUUUAAUUUUAUUCUCUGCCCCUUUUUGAUAAAGAAAUGGUGUCCAGUUCUCCUAAAUCUAAGCAACACGCAGCAUAACAAAA
Molecule: non-coding RNA, 797 nt
Organism: Cheilinus undulatus (humphead wrasse)
Lineage: Eukaryota; Metazoa; Chordata; Actinopteri; Labriformes; Labridae
Source: the annotation of a RefSeq genome assembly